UAGGGAAUCUUCCACAAUGGACGCAAGUCUGAUGGAGCAACGCCGCGUGAGUGAAGAAGGUUUUCGGAUCGUAAAGCUCUGUUGUUGGUGAAGAAGGAUAGAGGCAGUAACUGGUCUUUAUUUGACGGUAAUCAACCAGAAAGUCACGGCUAACUACGUGCCAGCAGCCGCGGUAAUACGUAGGUGGCAAGCGUUGUCCGGAUUUAUUGGGCGUAAAGCGAGCGCAGGCGGAAUGAUAAGUCUGAUGUGAAAGCCCACGGCUCAACCGUGGAACUGCAUCGGAAACUGUCAUUCUUGAGUGCAGAAGAGGAGAGUGGAAUUCCAUGUGUAGCGGUGGAAUGCGUAGAUAUAUGGAAGAACACCAGUGGCGAAGGCGGCUCUCUGGUCUGCAACUGACGCUGAGGCUCGAAAGCAUGGGUAGAGAACAGG
This 429-nucleotide ribosomal RNA is filed under the name bacterium. Its description in RNAcentral is "partial 16S ribosomal RNA". It matches the Rfam family "Bacterial small subunit ribosomal RNA", at positions 355 to 776 of the family's 1533-position model. The record is from RNAcentral.